This 727-nucleotide ribosomal RNA is filed under the name Actinomycetes bacterium. Its description in RNAcentral is "bacterial SSU rRNA". It matches the Rfam family "Bacterial small subunit ribosomal RNA", at positions 86 to 827 of the family's 1533-position model. Lineage: Bacteria; Bacillati; Actinomycetota; Actinomycetes. The record is from RNAcentral.
GGUGGAUUAGUGGCGAACGGGUGAGUAACACGUGGGCAAUCUGCCCUUCACUCUGGGACAAGCCCUGGAAACGGGGUCUAAUACCGGAUAACACCGGCUUCCGCAUGGGAGCUGGUUGAAAGCUCCGGCGGUGAAGGAUGAGCCCGCGGCCUAUCAGCUUGUUGGUGGGGUAAUGGCCUACCAAGGCGACGACGGGUAGCCGGCCUGAGAGGGCGACCGGCCACACUGGGACUGAGACACGGCCCAGACUCCUACGGGAGGCAGCAGUGGGGAAUAUUGCACAAUGGGCGAAAGCCUGAUGCAGCGACGCCGCGUGAGGGAUGACGGCCUUCGGGUUGUAAACCUCUUUCAGCAGGGAAGAAGCGAAAGUGACGGUACCUGCAGAAGAAGCGCCGGCUAACUACGUGCCAGCAGCCGCGGUAAUACGUAGGGCGCAAGCGUUGUCCGGAAUUAUUGGGCGUAAAGAGCUCGUAGGCGGCUUGUCACGUCGGGUGUGAAAGCCCGGGGCUUAACCCCGGGUCUGCAUCCGAUACGGGCAGGCUAGAGUGUGGUAGGGGAGAUCGGAAUUCCUGGUGUAGCGGUGAAAUGCGCAGAUAUCAGGAGGAACACCGGUGGCGAAGGCGGAUCUCUGGGCCAUUACUGACGCUGAGGAGCGAAAGCGUGGGGAGCGAACAGGAUUAGAUACCCUGGUAGUCCACGCCGUAAACGUUGGGAACUAGGUGUUGGC